RNAcentral lists this ribosomal RNA (254 nucleotides) under uncultured bacterium. RNAcentral describes it as "partial 16S ribosomal RNA". It matches the Rfam family "Bacterial small subunit ribosomal RNA", at positions 524 to 776 of the family's 1533-position model. The record is from RNAcentral.
UACGUAGGGUGCAAGCGUUAAUCGGAAUUACUGGGCGUAAAGCGUGCGCAGGCGGUUUGCUAAGACAGGUGUGAAAUCCCCGGGCUUAACCUGGGAACUGCGCUUGUUACUGGCAGGCUUGAGUGUGGCAGAGGGGGGUGGAAUUCCACGUGUAGCAGUGAAAUGCGUAGAGAUGUGGAGGAACACCGAUGGCGAAGGCAGCCCCCUGGGCUAACACUGACGCCUCAUGCACGAAAGCGUGGGGAGCAAACAGG